Molecule: ribosomal RNA, 860 nt
Filed under: uncultured marine bacterium
Lineage: Bacteria
Description: bacterial SSU rRNA
Rfam family: Bacterial small subunit ribosomal RNA
Source: RNAcentral
AGAGUUUGAUCCUGGCUCAGAACGAACGCUGGCGGCAUGCUAACACAUGCAAGUCGAACGAUCCUUCGGGAUAGUGGCGGACGGGUGAGUAACGCGUAGGUAUCUGCCCUGGAGUGGGGAACAACAGCUGGAAACGGCUGCUAAUACCGCAUACGCCCGGUAACGGGGAAAGCUUUAUGCGCUCUAGGAGGAACCUGCGUCCGAUUAGCUAGUUGGAGGGGUAACGGCCCACCAAGGCGACUAUCGGUAGCUGGUCUGGGAGGAUGAUCAGCCACACUGGGACUGAGACACGGCCCAGACUCCUACGGGAGGCAGCAGUGGGGAAUAUUGGACAAUGGGGGCAACCCUGGUCCAGCAAUGCCGCGUGCGUGAAGAAGGCCUUAGGGUUGUAAAGCGCUUUCGCCCGCGACGAUGAUGACGGUAGCGGGAGAAGAAGCCCCGGCUAACUCCGUGCCAGCAGCCGCGGUAAUACGGAGGGGGCGAGCGUUGUUCGGAAUUACUGGGCGUAAAGGGCGCGUAGGCGGCCUUGUCAGUCAGGCGUGAAAGCCCCGGGCUCAACCUGGGAUGUGCGCUUGAUACUGCAAGGCUUGAGACCGGAAGAGGAUGGCGGAAUACCCAGUGUAGAGGUGAAAUUCGUAGAUAUUGGGUGGAACACCAGUGGCGAAGGCGGCCAUCUGGUCCGGAUCUGACGCUGAGGCGCGAAAGCGUGGGGAGCAAAUAGGAUUAGAUACCCUGGUAGUCCACGCCGUAAACGAUGUGCGCUAGACGUCGGGAGUUAGGCUCUCGGUGUCGCAGCUAACGCAUUAAGCGCACCGCCUGGGGAGUACGGCCGCAAGGUUAAAACUCAAAGGAAUUGACGG